RNAcentral lists this transfer RNA (87 nucleotides) under bacterium. RNAcentral describes it as "tRNA-Ser". It matches the Rfam family "tRNA". Rfam says of the family: Transfer RNA (tRNA) molecules are approximately 80 nucleotides in length. Their secondary structure includes four short double-helical elements and three loops (D, anti-codon, and T loops). The record is from RNAcentral. RNAcentral also lists the same sequence under 1 other name.
GGAGAGGUCGCAUAGUGGUCUAGUGCGGAUGUCUUGAAAACAUCUGUCGCCGCAAGGUGACCGCGAGUUCGAAUCUCGCCCUCUCCG